RNAcentral lists this small RNA (2664 nucleotides) under Pongo abelii (Sumatran orangutan). Its description in RNAcentral is "retained intron". Lineage: Eukaryota; Metazoa; Chordata; Mammalia; Primates; Hominidae. The record is from RNAcentral.
GAGAUGGCCACCAACCUCAUGAUUCUGCACAGCUAUAUACUAGUGAAGAUUCAUGUUAAAAAUGGAGAUCACAUGAAAGGGGCUCGCAUGCUUAUUCGGGUGGCCAACAACAUCAGCAAGUUUCCAUCACGUAAGUACCACUGACCACAGCUCUCACCCAUGCCCCACGCUGCAUGCUAGCACAGUGCCCCUUUUGCAGGUUCCCCUCAUACACUAACUCAUUUAAUUAUCACAGCAGCUCCAUGAAGUGGUAUGUCAGGGCCCCAAGACCACUCCCAGGUUUGAUGAUUCUUCACUGGGAGGAUUUACAAGAGUCAACACACAGUAGUACCAAAGCCGAGAUUUAUCACAGCAAAGGAUCUGAGGCAAAAUGAGCAGAAGGAUUCACCCAAAGGCGAGCAGGUGCAGGCACGGACCUCCGAGAGUCCCUUCCCAGUGGAACACACAGGACGCAAGUUCAGUAACUCCUCCAAGACUGACUUGUACAACAUGGUGAAACGUAGAGUGCCAAGAAGCUCACUGGAGACUCAGCAGCCAGGAGUUUUAUUGGGGUGUGGUCACAUAGGUGCCCCCUGCCUGGCAUGUACCCAGUUUUCCAGGCUCCCAGAGAGCAGGUGUUCGGCAUAAACCACAUUGUUUAUACAGAGAUUUUAGGCACGGUGAGCCACUCAUCAGUUCUGGAAACGGUGGGAACCGUCUCCAAAUCUAUGUUCCAGAUGCGAGCCAAGGGUUAGCUGUUCAAGCCUUUCCAAGGAUGACAGUCUCAGGCCUGCACACACAAGUACUUUUCUGAACAAACUGGGACAAAAGAAAAGAAAUAACAUUUGCCCAAGAUCACAUUGUCAGCCAAUAAUAGCCUGACUCUGUGUUCGCAAGCACGGUAGAACGUUGCCUCUGAAAAGGCCUCACUAUCCUAAAAGACAUGUCAUGAUAACAUUCUUAAAUGAUUAAAUACUGUCACAUUAUAUGACAGGGAUCAGCAAACUUUUUCUGCAAAGGGCCAGAUGUUAAAUAUUUUAGACUUCGUGAGACAUAUGGUCUCUGUCACAACUGCUCAACUCUGCCAUCUUCUCAUGAAUAAUACAUAAACGAAUGGGCAUGAUUGUGUUUCAAUAGAGCUUUAUGUUUGGACACAAAUGUUAACCAUAUACACUUUUAACAUGUCACAAAAAUAUUUUGAUGUUUUUUCAACCAUUUAAAAAUGUAAAAAUCAUUCUUAGCUCAUGGACUGUACAAAAAGUCAGAGGGCUAGAUUUGGUCCAUGGGUCAUAAUUGGCCAACCCACAUUCUCUAAGUGUAUUUUUGUUGUUGCUGUUACAUGAAAGUCUACCAUGCGGGCAAGGUGUGGGAUAGGACAGGCACUCUCAUGACUGCUGGUGGGGAUGGAAAUUGGCAUGGCCUUUGCAGAAAGCAGUUUGGCAAUUUGUGGUAAGAGUAUUUUUGAAAAAGUCGUGUUUUUGAGCCAGUAAUUCUGGGUGUCUGUCCUGAAGAAAGAAUUUGAUGCCUGCCAAGAGGUUAGUGCAUAAAGUCAUUAAUCCCCCAAUGCUUUUAUCAGCAGUCCUGUCAGAUGCAAAAAAUAUAUCUAAGAGGCGUAAAAGGAAACUCACGGAAGUGUUGCCUCAAGGGAUGCAGGUCCCAGUGUUACAAGGCAGAACAUGAUGUCAUCAAAGGAAAAGCACUUGAUGGGCAGUUAGCCUGACCCCACAGCUACGUACUUUCCUCAUUAAACAGAUCGUAUCUGGUUCUUUGCAGAAAAAGCAAAGUUCAGAGACUAUGACCCUGUUUUCCUACAGAACCAGGGUGGAGUCCCGCCUGUAUCACUGAGGACAGGAGACACUGUGCUCUUGCUGCUCUCCCCUUUUCUCUUGCAGACAUCGUACCCAUCCUGACGUCAACUGUGAUUGAGUGUCACAGGGCAGGCCUGAGGAACUCUGCUUUCAGCUUCGCAGCUAUGUUGAUGAGGCCUGAAUACCGCAGCAAAAUAGAUGCCAAAUACAAAAAGAAGAUCGAGGGAAUGGUCAGGAGACCCGAUAUAUCCGAGAUAGAAGAGGCCACGACUCCAUGUCCAUUCUGCAAAUUUCUUCUCCCAGAGUGUGAACUCCUCUGUCCUGGAUGUAAAAACAGUAUCCCAUAUUGCAUUGCAACAGGUCGACACAUGUUGAAGGAUGACUGGACAGUGUGUCCACAUUGUGACUUCCCUGCUCUAUACUCAGAAUUGAAGAUCAUGCUAAACACUGAAAGCACAUGUCCUAUGUGUUCAGAAAGAUUAAACGCUGCUCAGCUGAAAAAGAUUUCAGACUGUACCCAGUACCUGCAAACGGAGGAGGAACUGUGAGUGCCAUGUGCAGAUACAAUGCUCCUGAGAAGACAGCAUUUUCCACAGGAGGCUGUUUCCUCCCCUGGUGGAUUUAAGAGACGGUCCUUUCUGGAUACAGAGAAAUGAAACAACGGUGACCUCUCCAGGUCGGCACUUUCCGCUUCUGUACAGUGGCAAAACGAUGACAUGUAACCUUGCUGUUUAUUGUACUUUGUUUAUUUCCUCUUCAAAGUCUUACACACUCUAUCCUCUGCACUGUUAAUAGUAACCUAUGACAUAAUUGUAAAUAUUCAGCUUUUUGAUAACUUUUGUAUUUUGAAAAACUUUAAAAUAAAAUUGUUGACUAG